AUGCUUUCUUUGGCAGCACAUAUACUAGAAUUGGAAUGAUACAGAGAAGAUUAGUAUGGUCCCUGCACA
This 69-nucleotide small nuclear RNA is filed under the name Salvator merianae (Argentine black and white tegu). The record is from RNAcentral. Lineage: Eukaryota; Metazoa; Chordata; Lepidosauria; Squamata; Teiidae.